This is a long non-coding RNA of Arabidopsis thaliana (thale cress), 524 nucleotides long. RefSeq annotates it as other RNA. The transcript has a single exon. Lineage: Eukaryota; Viridiplantae; Streptophyta; Magnoliopsida; Brassicales; Brassicaceae. The record is from RefSeq.
ACUACUAUAUAUUGAUUUCAAAUGCAACGCCGUAGAUAGUAUUAGUCAAACAAACAAUUAAAUUAAAGUAAACGUUUUGAUGUAGUCAUACGAAAUUGCCAAAAACAUUAAAAAAAUUUUGGUUUUUGCCUUGAAUGACCCAACAGACCAACAUGAUGCUCUUUCCUCCUCGGCCACCAGAAACGUUUGGGCGGCUCUCAACGUCAGCGAUCCCUACCUUUCUUCAUGUGUGGACCUUCUCCGAUCCUUCUUAUAUUGUUAUACAUAAAUUUAAAUAUUAUAAACGAUAUGCCUAUGUGAUUUAGUGUGAUUAGAUUUAGGGUUUAUAAUAUAAGUUCUUAUAAAUAUUGAGAAGAGUACUGCAUUUCUGUUUUCACCACAAAACUAUGUGCGAUUAAAACGAUGUGCUAGCUGGAGUUCAAUGUUUUAAUUCACAAUUUACGAGACUCCUUUACUGCUUUCUGUUCUGCAUUCUCUGUUGCUUCUCGUUAAUAAUUCUUCUGAGAUCAUGCCUACACUUGCAC